AUUUGAUAUAGAUCAACUUUUCGAGUGCAUGGGAAAGCUAAAAAAGUGGACAGAAUCACAUGUGAUGCUCUGAAAAUUUUAGGAAGUUCGUUGGAUCAGCCAGAAGAGUUAUCAUUGAGUUGACAUGCGCAGAGGAGGAAGAGGGCAAGUCGCCACGCGCAAGCAGUUCCUCAUCGGUUAUGCAGACAGGACCAACUACUGUUGCAUCAGGGUUUGCCUAUGCAAAAUUUGGGAAGACAAAGGUCAUUGUAUCUGUGUAAGUGCAGCAUCCUUUGGUAUUACCGUUUCAUAGUAUGUUUUACAUUUUUGGAUAAGCAGUUAUUAUAUCUGAUAAUUUUGAUGUACGUUUGGAGCACAAAAGGAAAAUAGUAAGUAUAGAAAUGACUCUAUGUCAAUUCUUAUUACCAAAUUUGUACAUGUCGUUAUGUUUCUGCCGUGUUGAUAGAUAAAAAGAACAAAAAUAGAGAGGUUACAGUGAAUGAGUUCCUGCCAGCGAAAAAAUGCCAUCAACACGAUCAAGUACUCGAUAGGGUGUUUUCUCCCACAUACAGUGCCAUAUAUGUUACUAACUCUAUACUAGCUUUGCUUUGAUAGUAUUCUAUGUAGAGCAAUAAUUUGUGUUAUCAGAACAGAGCUCACUAAAGUCGUUUGGAUGUUAUACUGCAAGGAUUUGUGUGGCUCACACCUUAUUGAAAGCAUCAGGAAGUGAUCUCUAGGACUCUAGCUGCUUAAUUGUGGAUGCUACACCAUUUUCUCAACACUUUAUCCAGAGUACUGUAGUACAACCCAUUCUUCCUUGUAUUUUCUCCUUUCCAUACAUUCCACUCUAUUUUAUCUCUAAUAUUUGCGGUUCCUAAUUAGUUUUGUCUGCAAUAGUUGGAUUCUUGUUUGACCCAGGUUUCAGUACUUUUUGAUAUUAACCCUUGAUGUUGUUUGCUUUGAUGUUAACGUAUUGAUGAAUUUUAUAU
This is a long non-coding RNA of Zea mays, 968 nucleotides long. RefSeq lists it as uncharacterized. The record is from RefSeq and is a predicted model, not a curated record. Lineage: Eukaryota; Viridiplantae; Streptophyta; Magnoliopsida; Poales; Poaceae. The transcript is spliced from 3 exons.